UACGAAGGUCCCAAGCGUUAUCCGGAUUUAUUGGGUUUAAAGGGUGCGUAGGCGGGUUGUUAAGUCAGUGGUGAAAGCUCCGAGCCUAACUCGGAAAUUGCCAUUGAUACUGACGAUCUUGAGUACAUUUGAGGUGGGCGGAAUGUGUCAUGUAGCGGUGAAAUGCUUAGAUAUGACACAGAACACCGAUUGCGAAGGCAGCUCACUAAACUGUAACUGACGCUGAGGCACGAAAGCGUGGGGAGCAAACAGG
RNAcentral lists this ribosomal RNA (253 nucleotides) under uncultured bacterium. RNAcentral describes it as "partial 16S ribosomal RNA". It matches the Rfam family "Bacterial small subunit ribosomal RNA", at positions 524 to 776 of the family's 1533-position model. The record is from RNAcentral.